Molecule: transfer RNA, 74 nt
Filed under: Haloarcula saliterrae
Lineage: Archaea; Methanobacteriati; Methanobacteriota; Halobacteria; Halobacteriales; Haloarculaceae
Description: tRNA-Ala
Rfam family: tRNA
About the family: Transfer RNA (tRNA) molecules are approximately 80 nucleotides in length. Their secondary structure includes four short double-helical elements and three loops (D, anti-codon, and T loops).
Source: RNAcentral
GGGCCCCUAGCUCAAUUGGCAGAGCGCCCGCUUCGCAAGCGGGAGGCUCCGGGUUCGAGUCCCGGGGGUGUCCA